UACGUAGGGGGCUAGCGUUGUCCGGAUUUAUUGGGCGUAAAGAGCGUGUAGGCGGCCAGGCAGGUCUGCUGUGAAAACUCGAGGCUCAACCUCGAGACGUCGGCGGAAACCAUCUGGCUAGAGUCCGGAAGAGGAGAGUGGAAUUCCUGGUGUAGCGGUGAAAUGCGUAGAUAUCAGGAGGAACACCGGUGGCGAAGGCGGCUCUCUGGACCGAUAUUGACGCUGAGACGCGAAAGCGUGGGUAGCAAACAGG
This 253-nucleotide ribosomal RNA is filed under the name uncultured bacterium. Its description in RNAcentral is "partial 16S ribosomal RNA". It matches the Rfam family "Bacterial small subunit ribosomal RNA", at positions 524 to 776 of the family's 1533-position model. The record is from RNAcentral.